Molecule: non-coding RNA, 1389 nt
Organism: Procambarus clarkii (red swamp crayfish)
Lineage: Eukaryota; Metazoa; Arthropoda; Malacostraca; Decapoda; Cambaridae
Source: RefSeq, a predicted model, not a curated record
GGGCGAGGACUCAGUGCCGGCGACACGGAGGUGACCUGCUUGUGUUGCAGGAUGCCGCUCUCAUGCUGGCUCUUAUGCAACUCUUCCACUCCCAAGGUUAAGGCAGAGCGUUGAAGGGUCUGACGAACGCGUCCUUCUGGGUGGGCGGUGUGCGUGUGGGCGUGGAGGACUGGUGGUGGGUGGACGGCUCCUACCUCACCCUCGGCAGCGCCUUCUGGUACCCGACCUUCGCCAGGCGACCCAAGGAGGUCCCCGAGUCCAGGCCGCCGCCGCUACACCGGGACUCGACCCGGCGCCGGAGACAAGGAGCGCAUCGUCCGCCCGCGCCGGAGACCGGGCGAAGAGGGACAAGUGGCGGCAGAGCGGCUCAGUUUCGGCCCAGAGGAUCGCACCACCAGAAGCAACGAACAUCGAAGUCCAAGUUUUCAAGAAUUAGACAGACUCCAGCAACACAGCAGCUUAAGCAUUCAGCAUUUAAGCGAGCAAAACCGGCUGAGUUGAUGUCUAGUGUCCAGCGCCCUGUAGCGCUACCUGCUGAUGGCGUCUCCGGAAACACGCUGUCUUCAGGAGACGGCGCUCCACCGGCGGCGUAUACGCGGCCUUCCAAGACCUCUACGCAUCCAGUUAGUCCCUCUCAUGCCUCUCCAGGAACUCGAAGGGACCCUAAAAUCUUAGUUAAUCAUCCAGGAGAACUUGAACAGCAGAAAUAUAAUAAUCAUAGAGAGGAGAGGACCUCAGACGGUCUCUGGAUAAGAGAGUCUCAAGGUCGUCAACAAACCGCUGCUGCCAUUCUAAGGGUGCGACAGUUGGCAGCGACGUCACUCCCUGGAGGAGCACGACACCCUCGCCAGGAGCCCUUACAGACUACCGAAGAAGGCCUGUUGGUGUUGGGCGAGCGGAUACCUGACCAGCCCCUGAGAGCUGUGUGUCUGUGGGCCAGGUUCAGGCACUUCUUCGCCUCGUGCGCGGCCACAGAGCGCCUCAGAGCCCUCUGUGAGUACAAGGCUGGCGCAUCAGAACAUAAACCCAUACCAUCUCUCACAACUAUGCUACACCAUUAAAUCAAAAUAAACAAGACGUACCCACAUUCUGCUCAAGCAAUGACGACGUGAAGUUCAUCUUUUGAAACAAGAUGCAAAAUAUAUUAAUUCAAACAACUGUUUUUAUAGCUGAAAAAAUUGUAAGAAAAGCAGCAGUUAUCAUGCAAGAAUGAGAGUGACUGUAGAGUACAGGAUAACAUUACCAAGGCACUAAAGGUAGGUACAAUCACCAGGCUCAACACCAGCCACAGAGGAACCACCAGCUCACACAAUCAACUCUAUAUAUGACUACAAUCUUUGGAUAAUCAUGAGCAUGUGUUAUAUAACUUAAAUAAAACUUGGAUAUAUA